CAAGGGAUAGCGGUGCUUGAUUCAGGUAAGUGGCUGAAGGGGACACGUGAGGAAAAGGGGGUGACCUAUUAACCCUUUAGUGCCAGGAAAACUGCUUUUAUAGUAUCACUAUGGAAUUUGCUCAUUUCAUUCUGGUAUUACCGUGCCCCUUCAUUAUCAAAUGAAGAAUAAUUAAGGCUGUAGAAGUAGAGCACUGUUUGAAGCUUGAAAAGAACACAAUCAAAACUUUACUGCUAUGAAUAAGUGAUA
Molecule: non-coding RNA, 249 nt
Organism: Pelobates cultripes (western spadefoot toad)
Lineage: Eukaryota; Metazoa; Chordata; Amphibia; Anura; Pelobatidae
Source: the annotation of a GenBank genome assembly